GUUGUGGCUCCGUGGUAGAGUACUCGCCUAGCAUGCAUGAGGCACUGGGUUCAAUCCUCAGCAAAACA
This 68-nucleotide transfer RNA is filed under the name Marmota monax (woodchuck). RNAcentral's name for it is "tRNA.Ala". Lineage: Eukaryota; Metazoa; Chordata; Mammalia; Rodentia; Sciuridae. The record is from RNAcentral.